This 465-nucleotide ribosomal RNA is filed under the name uncultured bacterium. RNAcentral describes it as "partial 16S ribosomal RNA". It matches the Rfam family "Bacterial small subunit ribosomal RNA", at positions 28 to 507 of the family's 1533-position model. The record is from RNAcentral.
GACGAACGCUGGCGGCGUGCUUAACACAUGCAAGUCGAACGGAAAGGCCCUGCUUGCAUGGUACUCUCGUGUCGAACGGGUGAGUAACACGUGUGUGUUCUGCCCUGCACUUCUUGAUAAGCCUUCAGAACUCUGUCUAUUACCCCAUAUGGGCCCUCCUUCGUCUUAUUGUUGGAUAGUUUUUUUGGUCUAGGAUGAGUUCGCUGGCUAUCAGGUUGGUGGUGGGGUAAUGGCCUACCAACGCGGCGGAGGGUAGCCGGCCUGCCGGGGUGGACGGCCAAAUUGGGAAUGGGAAAAGGCCCAGGAUCCUAAGGGAGGGAGGAGGGGGGAAUAAUGGACAAUGGGGGGAAGGCCGAUGCAGGGAAGCCGCGUGGGGGAUGACGGCCUUCGGGUUGGAAAACCGUUUCGCUAGGGAAGAAGCUGUGAGUGACGGUACCGAGAUAAGAAGCACCGGCUAACUACGUG